AAAAAUACUACGAUGUUUUUUUUCCAGUAACAAUAUUCCUUCAUCAACUCAUAACAUCAGUGUGCAACCUUGCAUUCUCAAAAGACCACUUAAAACACAAUAAUUUCUAUACAACACUAGAAAUAACAGACUUCACUCCAACAAUCUGAAUUCACAUAAUUUUUGUAAUCACAGACUUCUUUUGUCCAAAAACACAUAGCUCUUAAUAAACAACAAUCAUAAUCUUCCAAUAAUUCUUCAUAUAAUUCAAUCACUCAGUACUCCAAUUACAUAAUCAAUAACUCAUAA
RNAcentral lists this long non-coding RNA (288 nucleotides) under Physcomitrium patens. RNAcentral's name for it is "long non-coding RNA (PPAT_LNC014658)". The record is from RNAcentral. Lineage: Eukaryota; Viridiplantae; Streptophyta; Bryopsida; Funariales; Funariaceae.